Molecule: ribosomal RNA, 554 nt
Filed under: Cryptosporidium ryanae
Lineage: Eukaryota; Apicomplexa; Conoidasida; Eucoccidiorida; Cryptosporidiidae
Description: SSU rRNA
Rfam family: Eukaryotic small subunit ribosomal RNA
Source: RNAcentral
AUUCUAGAGCUAAUACAUGCGAAAAAACCCGACUUCUCGGAAGGGUUGUAUUUAUUAGAUAAAGAACCAAUAUUUUUGGUGACUCAUAAUAACUUUACGGAUCACAUUAUGUGACAUAUCAUUCAAGUUUCUGACCUAUCAGCUUUAGACGGUAGGGUAUUGGCCUACCGUGGCUAUGACGGGUAACGGGGAAUUAGGGUUCGAUUCCGGAGAGGGAGCCUGAGAAACGGCUACCACAUCUAAGGAAGGCAGCAGGCGCGCAAAUUACCCAAUCCUAAUACAGGGAGGUAGUGACAAGAAAUAACAAUACAGAGCCUUACGGUUUUGUAAUUGGAAUGAGUUAAGUAUAAACCCCUUAACAAGUAUCAAUUGGAGGGCAAGUCUGGUGCCAGCAGCCGCGGUAAUUCCAGCUCCAAUAGCGUAUAUUAAAGUUGUUGCAGUUAAAAAGCUCGUAGUUAAUUUUCUGUUAAUUUUUAUAUACAAUACUACGGUAUUUAUAUAAUAUUAACAUAAUUCAUAUUACUUUUUAGUAUAUGAAACUUUACUUUGAGAAA